AUUUUAAGAAUUAAUUAAUUAUACUCAAUUUCGGCUUGAAUUUAGACUUUCUUAGUCC
This 58-nucleotide transfer RNA is filed under the name Evania appendigaster. RNAcentral describes it as "tRNA-Arg". The record is from RNAcentral. Lineage: Eukaryota; Metazoa; Arthropoda; Insecta; Hymenoptera; Evaniidae.